Molecule: ribosomal RNA, 528 nt
Filed under: uncultured eukaryote
Lineage: Eukaryota
Description: partial 18S ribosomal RNA
Rfam family: Eukaryotic small subunit ribosomal RNA
Source: RNAcentral
UAAAAAGCUCGUAGUUGGAUCUCGGCGGGCAGGGGGGUGGUUCGCUCUUCAGCGCUACUGCCCCGCUUUGCCCGUGUGAUUGGCGGAGGUUUCGGGGUGCUCUUCGUUGAGUGACUCGGAGCGCCGUCAGGUUUACUUUGAAAAAAUUAGAGUGCUCAAAGCAGGCUUUUCACGCUUGAAUAUUCGUGCAUGGAAUAAUGGAAUAGGAACUCGUUUCUAUUUUGUUGGUUUUCGGAAAUCGAGUUAAUGAUUAACAGGGACAAUUGGGGGCAUUAGUAUUCAGACGACAGAGGUGAAAUUCUUGGACCGUCUGAAGACUGACUACUGCGAAAGCAUUUGCCAAGAGUGUUUUCAUUAAUCAAGAACGAUAGUGAGAGGUUCGAAGGCGAUCAGAUACCGCCCUAGUUCUAACCAUAAACGAUGCCAGCUAGCGAUCUGCCGAGUUUUUUUUGUAGGCUCCGCAGGAAGCUUUCGGGAAACCAAAGCUUUUGGGUUCCGGGGGAAGUAUGGUUGCAAAGCUGAAACUUA